RNAcentral lists this unclassified non-coding RNA (596 nucleotides) under Hevea brasiliensis (rubber tree). The record is from RNAcentral. Lineage: Eukaryota; Viridiplantae; Streptophyta; Magnoliopsida; Malpighiales; Euphorbiaceae.
AGAAGCUCAUGAUCUGAAUUCAUUUGAUGGGAGCAGGUUUGAUUCUGUUGCCAAGCAUGUUGAUAAUAAUGCAGGGAGUGCUGGGGAGGAUUUCACUGUUCAAGAUGACUCGCUGCAUAUCAUUUGAGUUCCAAGUUGAUAAGGUUGACUUUUGUGAUCCAGUUGAUGCCGGGGCCGCUUUGCAAGUGAAUGGGGUUAAGGUUGACGACAGGGAAUGUUUGCCUGGUAAUAGUGAUGUAUCCAAUUAUGUAGUGGAUCAGGUGUACUCAUUGGAUCAUUGUGAUGCCAAAGCUUGGGAUACUCGUUACACAGUUCCAACAAAAGGUGUUGAUCUCAUGGAAGAAAUUUUUGGACAAGGAACAUCCAGCGACUAGGUAAGAAAUAACAGUGGUAAAGGCUGGUACUCCUAAGGUCCUUAAGCAUGCCUUGAUGUACAACCUGUGUGGCCUUUGUAAGUGUCUAGAUCCUGGGAAUUUUCUAGCUAAGCACACCAUGUAAGAAAUUUUCUUUCAGUGGAUAGGUGUUUUUAACUUUUUUUUUUAAGUAAGGGGAAGAAGGAAAAAGAGAUGAUUUUGGUUUUUGGUUUUGUUCAUAUA